This is a long non-coding RNA of Pieris rapae (cabbage white), 1892 nucleotides long. RefSeq lists it as uncharacterized. Lineage: Eukaryota; Metazoa; Arthropoda; Insecta; Lepidoptera; Pieridae. The record is from RefSeq and is a predicted model, not a curated record. The transcript is spliced from 3 exons.
UGUUGAUGGAAAACACCAGUCCACCACUCCUCAAGUCCUCAACAUUAAAUUUGGGAUCGUCAGAAUAUCUUGUUUACGUAUACCGAAAUCAAAUAUGAAUUUAAAUUUUUUAAUGACAUUAUUUUUUUUUUGUUAUUCUCAGAGCCUUAGACUGGAUGUUUAACUUAUGGAGAGAUACUGUACUACAGGGUUCAAGUAUAAAUGUUCUAAAGUCUAAAAUACUCCUUAUUAGUGCAUUUUAUAGAAGCUGUAGAGAGAAAGGGUGGGCUCUCCACCAAACUCCAUAGAGGCAAUGCAGUAUAUUUAGAAUGUUCUCACAUUUGGCACUUAUAUAUUUGCAAUGAGAGCUUCCUGUAAGUCUCGAGGCUAAAAUUACCCCAAGAAAUGUUGUUUCCCUUUUAACUGGAACUCUAAUAUUAUUAUAAAACACAGUCUCAUACGUGAAAAUAAGACAAUCAUAUUUCAUUUUCAAUAAUUUUUGUUUCAGAAUUGAAAGGUUGACAUUAUUAUAGCCUGCAGACAUAUCUAAGAAUACUGUUACACAUACACAGGCUUGUUGUAUGAAAAUGACAAUCUUAAGUCUGUCAUAAAAAUACUGAGACUAUCCAUAGUACACCUGCCUUUCCUAAAUCCAAACUGGUUUGAAGAUAGUAACCCCUUACUCUCAAUAAACCAUUCUAACCUAUUUUGAACUAAAUGUUCAGAAAUUUUCUAUAUAACUGAAGCUAAUGCAAUUGGUCUGUAUGAUGAUGGAUUAUUAACCAGUUUGUUGGGCUUAUGUAUUGGGAUAACUUUGUGGAUUUUCCAUGAUGGAGGAAUAUUACCUGAUGUUGAGAUUGAAUUAAUUAAACUGAGAAAAUAAGAAAGGCAGGAGCCAUUUAGGUAUUGAAGCAAAGAAUAUUUAAUUCCAUCACAACCCGGGGCUGAGUCCCUAAAUUUUUGAAAGAACCCCUUUGAGUUCUGAAAGGCUAACGGAAAUUAGUGAUUUGCUACUAUUAUGCUGGGAGAGGAAAGAAGGCAGUGAGUCAGAAGAAAUAUUAUCUAUAGAUGGGGCAUAUGGUGGAGCUAAUUUGUCAAGAUACAAAUCAACUAUACUGCUAUCCAUAAAAUGAGAUCUUUUAAAAGCGGAUCUGAAUCUCCCCACUAUUUUGCCAGACUUCAGAUGGAGAAAUGUCUGGUGAAAUUAAGGCACAAAAAGAUUUCCAUUGAAUCUUUUACGUGUUUUUGUUAUAAGAUUACUGAGAAUAUUAAAAUUUUUUUGUGUUUUCUCUGUAAUUUCAUUUCCUUCAGCUAUAUUUCUCUGGGCUAUAGCAGCAGAACACUCACUGUCCCACCAAGGUGAUCGAAUAUACCCAUUGCCACUUUUAUUUUUUAUUGGAAAAACUUCCUCAGCAGACAGCCAGUUUUUCCAAUGCAUGUUAAAGCUUCAGCACAAAUAUGAUUAUUGCUGUCAUUUAUUGGAGGAAAUGAUACAAUUAGCGGAAAGUGAUGGCUUCCAUAUGAAGACAAUAGAGGCCACCAAUGUAUCAACAAGCGAAGGACUACAUAGGGCCUAAGACACGGAAUAAUGGUUGAAGAAGUCGCAAGAGAUUUUGGUAAAAAUACACGAAACCAACGCAAGCGGGAUCUGGUUUAAAAUAAAAUAUUAUCUAUUGUAGAAUUAUGAUUUUGUUAUUCCUGCCUGAUUAAUCAUAUGAAUAUUAUUGAACAUAGUUUGUGCAAGUAUUUGUAGUUACACUGAAAUUUUCAAAGAAUCAUAGUCGUUGAUCUAUAGAAAGUUAUAUAUAUACUCGACAUCUACGAAAUCAUUAGAAGGGAAUUGCCGACUUGUUUCUCAUCUCCGUCGAUAUUUUAAAAAUUUACUUAAUAUCACAAUGUCUGAACUACUCCAA